Molecule: ribosomal RNA, 492 nt
Filed under: uncultured bacterium
Lineage: Bacteria
Description: partial 16S ribosomal RNA
Rfam family: Bacterial small subunit ribosomal RNA
Source: RNAcentral
AGUGAACGCUGGCGGUAGGCCUAACACAUGCAAGUCGAACGGCAGCACAGCAAUAGCUUGCUCUUACGGGUGGCGAGUGGCGGAAGGGGGAGGAAUACUUCGGAAUCUACUUAUUCGUGGGGGAUAACGUAGGGAAACUUACGCUAAUACCGCAUACGACCUACGGGGGAAAGCAGGGGAUGUUCGGACCUGGCGCGAUUGUAUGAGCCGAUGUCGGAUUAGCUAGUUGGCGGGGUAAAGGCCCACCAAGGCGACGAUCCGUAGCUGGUCUGAGAGCAUCAUCCGCCACACUGUAGCUGAGACACGGCCCAGACACCUACGCGAGGCCGCAGCGGGGACUACUGGGCGAUGGGGCAAAGCCUGAUCCAGCCCUACCGCGUGAGUGAAGAAGCCCUUCUGCUUGGAGAGCCCUUUUGUUGGGAAAGAAAAGCAGCAGGUUAACACCCCGCUGUUCUGACGGUACCCAAAGAAUAAGCACCGGCUAACUUCGUG